RNAcentral lists this ribosomal RNA (468 nucleotides) under uncultured bacterium. RNAcentral describes it as "partial 16S ribosomal RNA". It matches the Rfam family "Bacterial small subunit ribosomal RNA", at positions 28 to 507 of the family's 1533-position model. The record is from RNAcentral.
GACGAACGCUGGCGGCGUGCUUAACACAUGCAAGUCGAACGGAAAGGCCCUGCUUUUGUGGGGUGCCCGAGUGGCGAACGGGUGAGUAACACGUGAGUAACCUGCCCUUGACUUUGGGAUAACUUCAGGAAACUGGGGCUAAUACCGGAUAGGAGCUCCUGCUGCAUGGUGGGGGUUGGAAAGUUUCGGCGGUUGGGGAUGGACUCGCGGCUUAUCAGCUUGUUGGUGGGGUAGUGGCUUACCAAGGCUUUGACGGGUAGCCGGCCUGAGAGGGUGACCGGCCACAUUGGGACUGAGAUACGGCCCAGACUCCUACGGGAGGCAGCAGUGGGGAAUAUUGCACAAUGGGCGGAAGCCUGAUGCAGCAACGCCGCGCGCGGGAUGACGGCCUUCGGGUUGUAAACCGCUUUCGCCUGUGACGAAGCGUGAGUGACGGUAAUGGGUAAAGAAGCACCGGCUAACUACGUG